UCCGAGUUGUCCCCGGCAGUCCUCUUAGAGUCCCCGGCAUUACCCGCUGGCAACUAAGAGCAGGGGUUGCGCUCGUUGCGGCACUUAACCCAACAUCUCACGACACGAGCUGACGACAGCCAUGCACCACCUGUGAUCGAGUCCCGAAGGAGGGCCGUAUUUCUACGGCUUUCCCGACCAUGUCAAGCCUUGGUAAGGUUCUUCGCGUUGCAUCGAAUUAAACAACAUGCUCCGCUGCUUGUGCGGGCCCCCGUCAAUUUCUUUGAGUUUUAACCUUGCGGCCGUACUCCCCAGGCGGAUGACUUAACGCGUUAGCUGCGCCACCGAAACUCCAUGAGCCCCGACAGCUAGUCAUCAUCGUUUACGGCGUGGACUAC
RNAcentral lists this unclassified non-coding RNA (377 nucleotides) under uncultured bacterium. RNAcentral's name for it is "contains 16S-23S intergenic spacer region". The record is from RNAcentral.